UAACAGCUGUGGUGGAUAGCGGGGAGGAUACAACUAUAAUGUUUAGUAAUAGUAACAGCUGUGGUGGAUAGUGGGGAGGAUAAAACUAAAACUCUUCUAAGCUUCGAACAGUUUGAUGUCAUCCUUCCCAGGCAAAGGUUGGAAUCUUUUGGAAUUGCAAAUAUUCAGGAGAGAGGUCCAUACUUUAACGAUGUUGGAAACUUCGUUGAAUGUAACUUCUCAGAGAAAGAAAUAGUAGAGUUCCUGUCCUCAGUUCAUCUUCAUCUUUUUUCUGAAGAUAUUAAUGAUAUUUCUAAG
Molecule: long non-coding RNA, 297 nt
Organism: Eurytemora carolleeae
Lineage: Eukaryota; Metazoa; Arthropoda; Copepoda; Calanoida; Temoridae
Exons: 4
Source: RefSeq, a predicted model, not a curated record